AUACGUAGGUGCCAAGCGUUAUCCGGAUUUACUGGGCGUAAAGGGCGUGUAGGCGGUCUUGCAAGUCAGAAGUGAAAUUCCUGAGCUCAACUCGGGCGCUGCUUCUGAAACUGCAGGACUUGAGUGCUGGAGGGGAUAGCGGAAUUCCUAGCGGAGCGGUAAAAUGCGCAGAUAUUAGGAAGAACACCGGUGGUGAAGGCGGAUAUCUGGACAUUAACUGACGCGGAGGCGCGAAAGCGUGGAGAUCAGACAGGAUUAUAUACCCUGGUAGUCCACACUGUAAACGAUGAAUGCUAGGUGUAAGAGGUAUCGACCCCUUUUGUGCCGGAGUCAACACAAUAAGCAUUCCGCCUGGGGAGUACGGCCGCAAGGUUGAAACUUAAAGGAAUUGACGGGG
RNAcentral lists this ribosomal RNA (397 nucleotides) under uncultured bacterium. RNAcentral's name for it is "partial 16S ribosomal RNA". It matches the Rfam family "Bacterial small subunit ribosomal RNA", at positions 523 to 918 of the family's 1533-position model. The record is from RNAcentral.